CACGUAGGGGGCGAGCGUUGUCCGGAAUUACUGGGGCGUAAAGGGCGCGUAGGCGGUUUUUUAAGUUAGAUGUGAAAACCCAGGGCUUAACUUUGGGCGUGCAUUUAAAACUGGAGAGCUUGAGUGCAGGAGAGGUAAGUGGAAUUCCUAGUGUAGCGGUGAAAUGCGUAGAUAUUAGGAGGAACACCAGUGGCGAAGGCGACUUACUGGACUGUAACUGACGCUGAGGCGCGAAAGCGUGGGGAGCAAACAGGAUUAGAUACCCCCGUAGUCCCUGAGCGGGCUGGCAA
This 290-nucleotide ribosomal RNA is filed under the name uncultured prokaryote. RNAcentral describes it as "partial 16S ribosomal RNA". It matches the Rfam family "Bacterial small subunit ribosomal RNA", at positions 524 to 815 of the family's 1533-position model. The record is from RNAcentral.